GUGGGGAAUUUUGGACAAUGGGGGCAACCCUGAUCCAGCCAUGCCGCGUGCGGGAAGAAGGCCUUCGGGUUGUAAACCGCUUUUGUCAGGGAAGAAAUCCUUUGGGUUAAUACCUCGGAGGGAUGACGGUACCUGAAGAAUAAGCACCGGCUAACUACGUGCCAGCAGCCGCGGUAAUACGUAGGGUGCGAGCGUUAAUCGGAAUUACUGGGCGUAAAGCGUGCGCAGGCGGUUUUGUAAGAUCGAUGUGAAAUCCCCGGGGUCAACCUGGGAACUGCAUUGGUGAAUGCAAGGCUGGAGUGCGGCAGAGGGGGAUGGAAUUCCGCGUGUAGCAGUGAAAUGCGUAGAUAUGCGGAGGAACACCGAUGGCGAAGGCAAUCCCCUGGGCCUGCACUGACGCUCAUGCACGAAAGCGUGGGGAGCAAACAGGAUUAGAUACCCGGGUAGUCC
RNAcentral lists this ribosomal RNA (450 nucleotides) under uncultured bacterium. Its description in RNAcentral is "partial 16S ribosomal RNA". It matches the Rfam family "Bacterial small subunit ribosomal RNA", at positions 354 to 796 of the family's 1533-position model. The record is from RNAcentral.